UACGUAGGGUGCGAGCGUUGUCCGGAAUUAUUGGGCGUAAAGAGCUCGUAGGCGGCUUGUCGCGUCGGAUGUGAAAGCCCGGGGCUUAACUCCGGGUCUGCAUUCGAUACGGGCAAGCUAGAGUGUGGUAGGGGAGAUCGGAAUUCCUGGUGUAGCGGUGAAAUGCGCAGAUAUCAGGAAGAACACCGGUGGCGAAGGCGGUGGGCUGGGCCGGCACUGACGCUGAGGAGCGAAAGCGUGGGGAGCGAACAGG
Molecule: ribosomal RNA, 253 nt
Filed under: uncultured bacterium
Lineage: Bacteria
Description: partial 16S ribosomal RNA
Rfam family: Bacterial small subunit ribosomal RNA
Source: RNAcentral